UAGAAAGAUGGGUAAGACAUGGUCCUUA
This 28-nucleotide non-coding RNA is filed under the name Mus musculus (house mouse). Lineage: Eukaryota; Metazoa; Chordata; Mammalia; Rodentia; Muridae. The record is from RNAcentral.